Molecule: ribosomal RNA, 253 nt
Filed under: uncultured bacterium
Lineage: Bacteria
Description: partial 16S ribosomal RNA
Rfam family: Bacterial small subunit ribosomal RNA
Source: RNAcentral
CACGUAGGUGGCAAGCGUUAUCCGGAAUUAUUGGGCGUAAAGAGCGCGCAGGUGGUUAAUUAAGUCUGAUGUGAAAGCCCACGGCUUAACCGUGGAGGGUCAUUGGAAACUGGUAGACUUGAGUGCAGGAGAGGAGAGUGGAAUUCCAUGUGUAGCGGUGAAAUGCGUAGAUAUAUGGAGGAACACCGGUGGCGAAAGCGGCUCUCUGGCCUGUAACUGACACUGAGGCUCGAAAGCGUGGGGAGCAAACAGG